UUUAUGGAGAGUUUGAUCCUGGCUCAGGAUGAACGCUGGCGGCGUGCCUAAUACAUGCAAGUCGAGCGAACAGAUAAGGAGCUUGCUCCUUUGACGUUAGCGGCGGACGGGUGAGUAACACGUGGGUAACCUACCUAUAAGACUGGAAUAACUCCGGGAAACCGGGGCUAAUGCCGGAUAACAUGUUGAACCGCAUGGUUCUACAGUGAAAGACGGUCUUGCUGUCACUUAUAGAUGGACCCGCGCCGUAUUAGCUAGUUGGUGGGGUAACGGCCUACCAAGGCGACGAUACGUAGCCGACCUGAGAGGGUGAUCGGCCACACUGGAACUGAGACACGGUCCAGACUCCUACGGGAGGCAGCAGUAGGGAAUCUUCCGCAAUGGGCGAAAGCCUGACGGAGCAACGCCGCGUGAGUGAUGAAGGUCUUCGGAUCGUAAAGCUCUGUUGUUAGGGAAGAACAAAUGUGUAAGUAACUGUGCACAUCUUGACGGUACCUAACCAGAAAGCCACGGCUAACUACGUGCCAGCAGCCGCGGUAAUACGUAGGUGGCAAGCGUUAUCCGGAAUUAUUGGGCGUAAAGCGCGCGUAGGCGGUUUUUUAAGUCUGAUGUGAAAGCCCACGGCUCAACCGUGGAGGGUCAUUGGAAACUGGAAAACUUGAGUGCAGAAGAGGAAAGUGGAAUUCCAUGUGUAGCGGUGAAAUGCGCAGAGAUAUGGAGGAACACCAGUGGCGAAGGCGGCUUUCUGGUCUGCAACUGACGCUGAUGUGCGAAAGCGUGGGGAUCAAACAGGAUUAGAUACCCUGGUAGUCCACGCCGUAAACGAUGAGUGCUAAGUGUUAGGGGGGUUUCCGCCCCUUAGUGCUGCAGCUAACGCAUUAAGCACUCCGCCUGGGGAGUACGGUCGCAAGACUGAAACUCAAAGGAAUUGACGGGGACCCGCACAAGCGGUGGAGCAUGUGGUUUAAUUCGAAGCAACGCGAAGAACCUUACCAAAUCUUGACAUCCUUUGACCGCUCUAGAGAUAGAGUUUUCCUCUUCGGAGGACAAAGUGACAGGUGGUGCAUGGUUGUCGUCAGCUCGUGUCGUGAGAUGUUGGGUUAAGUCCCGCAACGAGCGCAACCCUUGAACUUAGUUGCCAUCAUUCAGUUGGGCACUCUAAGUUGACUGCCGGUGACAAACCGGAGGAAGGUGGGGAUGACGUCAAAUCAUCAUGCCCCUUAUGAUUUGGGCUACACACGUGCUACAAUGGACAAUACAAAGGGCAGCGAAACCGCGAGGUCAAGCAAAUCCCAUAAAGUUGUUCUCAGUUCGGAUUGUAGUCUGCAACUCGACUACAUGAAGCUGGAAUCGCUAGUAAUCGUAGAUCAGCAUGCUACGGUGAAUACGUUCCCGGGUCUUGUACACACCGCCCGUCACACCACGAGAGUUUGUAACACCCGAAGCCGGUGGAGUAACCAUUUUGGAGCUAGCCGUCGAAGGUGGGACAAAUGAUUGGGGUGAAGUCGUAACAAGGUAGCCGUAUCGGAAGGUGCGGCUGGAUCACCUCCUUUCU
This 1555-nucleotide ribosomal RNA is filed under the name Staphylococcus pseudintermedius. RNAcentral's name for it is "bacterial SSU rRNA". It matches the Rfam family "Bacterial small subunit ribosomal RNA". The record is from RNAcentral. Lineage: Bacteria; Bacillati; Bacillota; Bacilli; Caryophanales; Staphylococcaceae.